Molecule: ribosomal RNA, 408 nt
Filed under: uncultured bacterium
Lineage: Bacteria
Description: partial 16S ribosomal RNA
Rfam family: Bacterial small subunit ribosomal RNA
Source: RNAcentral
GACGAACGCUGGCGGCGUGCUUAACACAUGCAAGUCGAACGAAGUGGCGAACGGGUGAGUAACGCGUAAUCAACCUGCCCUUCAGAGGGGGACAACAGUUGGAAACGACUGCUAAUACCGCAUACUGAAGGUGGGGAUUGCGUCUGAUUAGCUAGUUGGAGGGGUAACGGCCCACCAAGGCGAUGAUCAGUAGCCGGUCUUGGAGGAUGAACGGCCACAUUGGGACUGAGACACGGCCCAGGCUUCUACGGGAGGCAGCAAUGGGGAAUCUUCCGCAAUGGGCGAAAGUCUGACGGAGCAACGCCGCGUGAGUGAUUACGGCCUUCGGGUUGUAAAGCUCUGUUAAUCGGGGCGCGGUACCGGAAUAGAAAGCCACGGCUAACUACGUACCAGCAGCCGCGGUAAUAC